UACGUAGGUGGCAAGCGUUGUCCGGAUUUAUUGGGCGUAAAGCGAGUGCAGGCGGUUCGAUAAGUCUGAUGUGAAAGCCUUCGGCUCAACCGGAGAAUUGCAUCAGAAACUGUCGAGCUUGAGUACAGAAGAGGAGAGUGGAACUCCAUGUGUAGCGGUGAAAUGCGUAGAUAUAUGGAAGAACACCGGUGGCGAAGGCGGCUCUCUGGUCUGUUACUGACGCUGAGGCUCGAAAGCAUGGGUAGCGAACAGGAUUAGAUACCCUGGUAGUC
RNAcentral lists this ribosomal RNA (272 nucleotides) under uncultured Lactobacillaceae bacterium. RNAcentral's name for it is "partial 16S ribosomal RNA". It matches the Rfam family "Bacterial small subunit ribosomal RNA", at positions 524 to 795 of the family's 1533-position model. Lineage: Bacteria; Bacillati; Bacillota; Bacilli; Lactobacillales; Lactobacillaceae. The record is from RNAcentral.